GAAGGUCUUCGGAUCGUAAAACUCUGUUGUUAGGGAAGAACAAGUAUCGACCGAAUAAGUCGGUACCUUGACGGUACCUAACCAGAAAGCCCCGGCUAACUACGUGCCAGCAGCCGCGGUAAUACGUAGGAGGCGAGCGUUGUCCGGAAUUAUUGGGCGUAAAGGGCGCGCAGGCGGUCUUUUAAGUCUGAUGUGAAAUCUCGUAGCUUAACUACGAGCGGUCAUUGGAAACUGGAAGACUUGAGGACAGAAGAGGAGAGUGGAAUUCCACGUGUAGCGGUGAAAUGCGUAGAGAUGUGGAGGAACACCAGUGGCGAAGGCGACUCUCUGGUCUGUAACUGACGCUGAGGCGCGAAAGCGUGGGGAGCGAACAGGAUUAGAUACCCUGGUAGUCCACGCCGUAAACGAUGAGUGCUAGGUGUUAGGGGGUUUCCGCCCCUUAGUGCUGCAGUUAACGCAUUAAGCACUCCGCCUGGGGAGUACGGCCGCAAGGCUGAAACUCAAAAGAAUUGACGGGGGCCCGCACAAGCGGUGGAGCAUGUGGUUUAAUUCGAAGCAACGCGAAGAACCUUACCAGGUCUUGACAUCCCUUUGACUGUCCUAGAGAUAGGGCUUUCCCUUCGGGGACAAAGGUGACAGGUGGUGCAUGGUUGUCGUCAGCUCGUGU
Molecule: ribosomal RNA, 667 nt
Filed under: uncultured bacterium
Lineage: Bacteria
Description: bacterial SSU rRNA
Rfam family: Bacterial small subunit ribosomal RNA
Source: RNAcentral